UUUCAGUAUUCAGCACUAGUCCUCUUACUCCUGUUAUUGGAAUGCGCUCUCCUUUACUACUUCUCAAGCAACCUUGUAGAGAAAGGCUUGCAAGAUGAUGGACUAUGGACUCACGCCAUGAGGCUCGCCUUCCAAUGCUGUGAACACAACGCCACAAUACCUGAUGUUAAGAAGCCCCCUUGGUCUUGCUGUGGUCCCGAAACCUACCCUGACAAUUGCACAUCAACUAUGGUGGUCA
Molecule: long non-coding RNA, 238 nt
Organism: Helicoverpa zea (corn earworm)
Lineage: Eukaryota; Metazoa; Arthropoda; Insecta; Lepidoptera; Noctuidae
Exons: 3
Source: RefSeq, a predicted model, not a curated record